Molecule: small nuclear RNA, 107 nt
Filed under: Lynx canadensis (Canada lynx)
Lineage: Eukaryota; Metazoa; Chordata; Mammalia; Carnivora; Felidae
Also listed under: 1 other name
Source: RNAcentral
GUGCUCGCUUCGGCAGCACAUAUACUAAAAUUGGACUGAUACAGAGAAGAUUAGCGUGGCCCCUGCACAAGGAUGACAUGCAAAUUUGUGAAGUGUUCCAUAUUUUU